This 285-nucleotide unclassified non-coding RNA is filed under the name Acaulospora lacunosa. RNAcentral's name for it is "partial contains 5.8S ribosomal RNA and internal transcribed spacer 2". The stretch from base 1 to 71 matches the Rfam family "5.8S ribosomal RNA", at positions 84 to 154 of the family's 154-position model. The record is from RNAcentral. Lineage: Eukaryota; Fungi; Glomeromycota; Glomeromycetes; Diversisporales; Acaulosporaceae.
GUGAAUCAUCGAAUCUUUGAACGCAAAUUGCACUCUCUGGUAUUCCGGGGAGUAUGCUUGCUUGAGGGUUAGUUUAUUACAAAUCGUAAAAAGAAAUUUUUACGGAUCUGGAUUUUCUAAAAGUUAUAUUUUGGGUAUUCUAAAAUUUAUCAUAACAAUGGGUGUUAUUGGAAAUGUUUUUUUUUAUUUCAUUAACAAUUAUUACCAAUUUGGUUAGGUCGUGUAAUUUUCCUAUUUUCUUAUUUGGUUAAAUAAAUUCAAUUUUCUUUUUGAAUUUUGACCUCA